GGUUAAGCGACUAAGCGUACACGGUGGAUGCCCUGGCAGUCAGAGGCGAUGAAGGACGUGCUAAUCUGCGAUAAGCGUCGGUAAGGUGAUAUGAACCGUUAUAACCGGCGAUUUCCGAAUGGGGAAACCCAGUGUGUUUCGACACACUAUCAUUAACUGAAUCCAUAGGUUAAUGAGGCGAACCGGGGGAACUGAAACAUCUAAGUACCCCGAGGAAAAGAAAUCAACCGAGAUUCCCCCAGUAGCGGCGAGCGAACGGGGAGCAGCCCAGAGCCUGAAUCAGUGUGUGUGUUAGUGGAAGCGUCUGGAAAGGCGCGCGAUACAGGGUGACAGCCCCGUACACAAAAAUGCACAUGCUGUGAGCUCGAUGAGUAGGGCGGGACACGUGGUAUCCUGUCUGAAUAUGGGGGGACCAUCCUCCAAGGCUAAAUACUCCUGACUGACCGAUAGUGAACCAGUACCGUGAGGGAAAGGCGAAAAGAACCCCGGCGAGGGGAGUGAAAAAGAACCUGAAACCGUGUACGUACAAGCAGUGGGAGCACGCUUAGGCGUGUGACUGCGUACCUUUUGUAUAAUGGGUCAGCGACUUAUAUUCUGUAGCAAGGUUAACCGAAUAGGGGAGCCGAAGGGAAACCGAGUCUUAACUGGGCGUUAAGUUGCAGGGUAUAGACCCGAAACCCGGUGAUCUAGCCAUGGGCAGGUUGAAGGUUGGGUAACACUAACUGGAGGACCGAACCGACUAAUGUUGAAAAAUUAGCGGAUGACUUGUGGCUGGGGGUGAAAGGCCAAUCAAACCGGGAGAUAGCUGGUUCUCCCCGAAAGCUAUUUAGGUAGCGCCUCGUGAAUUCAUCUCCGGGGGUAGAGCACUGUUUCGGCAAGGGGGUCAUCCCGACUUACCAACCCGAUGCAAACUGCGAAUACCGGAGAAUGUUAUCACGGGAGACACACGGCGGGUGCUAACGUCCGUCGUGAAGAGGGAAACAACCCAGACCGCCAGCUAAGGUCCCAAAGUCAUGGUUAAGUGGGAAACGAUGUGGGAAGGCCCAGACAGCCAGGAUGUUGGCUUAGAAGCAGCCAUCAUUUAAAGAAAGCGUAAUAGCUCACUGGUCGAGUCGGCCUGCGCGGAAGAUGUAACGGGGCUAAACCAUGCACCGAAGCUGCGGCAGCGACGCUUAUGCGUUGUUGGGUAGGGGAGCGUUCUGUAAGCCUGUGAAGGUGUGCUGUGAGGCAUGCUGGAGGUAUCAGAAGUGCGAAUGCUGACAUAAGUAACGAUAAAGCGGGUGAAAAGCCCGCUCGCCGGAAGACCAAGGGUUCCUGUCCAACGUUAAUCGGGGCAGGGUGAGUCGACCCCUAAGGCGAGGCCGAAAGGCGUAGUCGAUGGGAAACAGGUUAAUAUUCCUGUACUUGGUGUUACUGCGAAGGGGGGACGGAGAAGGCUAUGUUGGCCGGGCGACGGUUGUCCCGGUUUAAGCGUGUAGGCUGGUUUUCCAGGCAAAUCCGGAAAAUCAAGGCUGAGGCGUGAUGACGAGGCACUACGGUGCUGAAGCAACAAAUGCCCUGCUUCCAGGAAAAGCCUCUAAGCAUCAGGUAACAUCAAAUCGUACCCCAAACCGACACAGGUGGUCAGGUAGAGAAUACCAAGGCGCUUGAGAGAACUCGGGUGAAGGAACUAGGCAAAAUGGUGCCGUAACUUCGGGAGAAGGCACGC
Molecule: ribosomal RNA, 1708 nt
Filed under: Escherichia coli
Lineage: Bacteria; Pseudomonadati; Pseudomonadota; Gammaproteobacteria; Enterobacterales; Enterobacteriaceae
Description: partial 23S ribosomal RNA
Rfam family: Bacterial large subunit ribosomal RNA
Source: RNAcentral